Molecule: long non-coding RNA, 1669 nt
Organism: Rhododendron vialii
Lineage: Eukaryota; Viridiplantae; Streptophyta; Magnoliopsida; Ericales; Ericaceae
Exons: 2
Source: RefSeq, a predicted model, not a curated record
AGGUGCUUGGGAUAGGACUAAGGGCACCUAAUCCCAUGUUUUCUUUCGUUUGGUUCCCGCUCCCGCACGCGAGAUUGCUAAUACCAAGACUAAAUUUUUCCACAUAUGGGGGGUGGGUGUGUUGGGACUGUUAAUCCGGGAUAAAAGAAACGCGGAAAGGAACUUCGCGAGAAUUGCAAAAUUGCAACUCGUAUAAAACCCUCUCUUUCACUCUUCUUCUUCUUGCUCUCUACACCAGAGCAGCUCUGAGGCGAUUUGACAACUUCGCCAUUCUCUCAAAAUUUCUCUUGAACCUGGUACUCUCUCUCUCUCUCUCUCUCCCCUUUGUUUUCGUUUGAGAAACCUGGUACUUCCGAAAUUGAAUCGAACUUGGUACUUCUGAAUCUGUUUCUGAAACCCUAGAUCUGUUUCUAAACCUUAGAAUUUGUUUUCAUUUUUAGUGAUAGAACCAGUUUCUAAACCCUAGAACAUGUUUCAUUUUUACAUAUUUGUGUUCUACCCACUUGAUCAAAUUGAAAAGAAAACACUUGAUCAAACAGAGUUUGGAUUGAAACUAAGAAAUUGAGGUAUUGAUGACUAAAAGCUGAAAGGGUCUAACUGAAGUGGCUUAAAAUUUAAUAAAAUUCAGAUUAAAAAGAGGAGAAAGAUCUCAUCUUGACUUGUAAGUCUGAUUCCUAAUACAAGUAUGUUGAUGAUGCUUGCCACAAGGCAUCUUUCAUGCAUUUUGCAAUGGUGGUUUUGCCUGAAUGUAUUCAGUUUAAAACAUGGAGGAAGACUUACAUGAGUUCUCUUUAAAAGUAACGCCAUGAGUUAGCCCAAAGAUUAUUAUUGUGCUGCAUUACUGUAUGUUUUUCAAAUAUUGAUCGCAGUUGUCUUUGUAUGAAUUCUACAACAGUACUAAAUUUGUUCCCAGUCAGCUCUUGGAACUCGAUAUGAUUGGAAACUUGGAAGCAAGCUUGGAAGCUUUUUGGCUCUUGCGUCUGUUGUUGGAUGAUUCUGGGGGUAGUCAUUGUGGUGUUCUGUUUUGUAGUUAGUUUGGUGUUCUAUUGUGUGUCCUGCUAGUGUGUUUGAGCUCCUGUUGUUGGUGAUCCUUGGACUUGUGUCUUGAGUCUGUCUCGUGAUAUUUUGGAGCCUCGUUGGCUCUCUGAUAAUCUGGGUGAUUCAAAUACUGUGGGGACGAUUCAAAAUGUUGAGAGGAACCAAGAAUGGUUCUGAAUCAGGUCGACUAAUGCUUGGAAUCUUUGGAGAACUGGGAAAGGCUGAUUCUGUUGAUGAUGUUGAAGAUUAGAUGGCAUGGGAUGGGGACUGUAUCUAGAUGCAAACAUGGCAAAAAGGGCUACAGAUGUAUAUCUUGGGUAACGAGGGCCCGAGAUUUCCACUUGGCUUUUUUCAGAUGGAUUUGAGGGAUGCAAGCUGCUCUAAUUAUGCUGCAUCUUAAGGCUUCAUUGGUUUUACUUUGUGUAAUGGUUACACUCUCUAGGGCCUGCCCUAGGUUGCUUUGAUUCUGUUGUAGUUUGGUUGGAACCUUUCCAACCAUUUUACUUUUGGGUUUGGUCAGGUAUGUUAACCAUGUAAAUAACCAAUUGCAUUGUAUGUCAACCAUUGGUUAGGUAUGUUAACCAUGACUGUGAGGAAUUUUUUUGAUAAUGCACAGGUUAUGUCAACUCAA